Molecule: small RNA, 127 nt
Filed under: Marmota monax (woodchuck)
Lineage: Eukaryota; Metazoa; Chordata; Mammalia; Rodentia; Sciuridae
Source: RNAcentral
GCUGGGCACAGUGGUGCAUGCCUGUCAUCCCAGCAGCUUAGGAGGCUGAGGCAGGAGGAUCAUAAAUUCAAAGCCAGCCUCAGCCCCUUAGCAAGGCCCUAAGCAACUCAGUGAGACCCUGUCUCUA